RNAcentral lists this long non-coding RNA (629 nucleotides) under Fukomys damarensis (Damara mole-rat). RNAcentral describes it as "lncRNA (ENSFDAG00000027100.1)". The record is from RNAcentral. Lineage: Eukaryota; Metazoa; Chordata; Mammalia; Rodentia; Bathyergidae.
CUGCCUGCAUCCCAAACUUUGUGGCCUACAUUCCAGUAAUGAGAAGGCCCAGAUCCAUUUGAAAACAUUUAUAUUAGUUAACAGCCAACAGCUCAGUGCACCAGGAGCCCAAGACUGGAGGUCCUUGUUUCACUCUGAAAGGAUGGCUCUGCAUGGCCUUCCCAUUGUCACUGCCAGAUUCUCUUCAGCCAUAGGAAGGUAUCCUUCACCUCUGGCUUUGUGGGCUGUGGAACAGAUCUCAGGAAGACUUCCAGAAACCUCCCCGGAGUCUGCCUGGUGGUUCCUCGCCUUACCCUACCAGUCCAAGCUCCCAAACCGAACUCCACAGACCAAGCAGCAGACAGCAACAGCUGGUGCCCAAAUGUAGGGCUUGCGUAUGCUGGGUAAAUAUUGAAGCCGCGGUGUGAUCUCUCAGACGUGUUUCAGCCAUUUUUCCACCCACAAUGCUGUAAUGCCAUCUGCCAUAAGGAUUUCAGGAAAACAAAACAGAUCCUGCCACCAUGCCCUUGCAUAUCUAGAACUAUGAGCUAAAUAAACAUCUGUUCUUUACAAAAUUUCCCAGUUAUAAAUAUUUUGUUAUAAUAAAAAAAGAUUAUAUAGUGGGUUUAUCACUUUUAUCAAAUUUUGAA